This 491-nucleotide small RNA is filed under the name Microcystis sp. T4. Its description in RNAcentral is "bacterial LSU rRNA". The stretch from base 1 to 100 matches the Rfam family "Bacterial small subunit ribosomal RNA", at positions 1434 to 1533 of the family's 1533-position model. The record is from RNAcentral. RNAcentral also lists the same sequence under 1 other name. Lineage: Bacteria; Bacillati; Cyanobacteriota; Cyanophyceae; Chroococcales; Microcystaceae.
CUCAACCGCAAGGAGGGGGAUGCCUAAGGCAGGGCUAGUGACUGGGGUGAAGUCGUAACAAGGUAGCCGUACCGGAAGGUGUGGCUGGAUCACCUCCUUAAAGGGAGACCUAAUUCGGGUAUAAGACGAAAAAAUAGUAGUCGAAACCAAGAAUCAAUCCCAAAAGGUCGGAGCGAGGCGAAAUUGGCUUUCAAACUAGGUUCUGGGUUCAAACAAGACCUGAAUCAGGAACAAGGGCUAUUAGCUCAGGUGGUUAGAGCGCACCCCUGAUAAGGGUGAGGUCCCUGGUUCGAGUCCAGGAUGGCCCACCUGCACAGGUGGCAAAAACAAAGAAAAGAAGCUCCGAAUCAGCACCUUAUCUUACUUAUAUAUAGUAAGAGAGAAUGCUGGCUCUGAGUUCAGAGUCCAGAGGAACCUUGAAAACUGCAUAGAGCUAGGUGAAAAAGCCAAAAAAGAAGACCGCAAGGUCAAGCUAAUAAGGGCUAACGGUG